This 460-nucleotide ribosomal RNA is filed under the name uncultured bacterium. Its description in RNAcentral is "partial 16S ribosomal RNA". It matches the Rfam family "Bacterial small subunit ribosomal RNA", at positions 338 to 795 of the family's 1533-position model. The record is from RNAcentral.
CCUACGGGAGGCAGCAGUGAGGAAUAUUGGUCAAUGGGCGUAAGCCUGAACCAGCCAAGUCGCGUGAGGGAUGAAGGUUCUAUGGAUCGUAAACCUCUUUUAUAAGGGAAUAAAGUGUGGGACGUGUCCUGUUUUGUAUGUACCUUAUGAAUAAGGAUCGGCUAACUCCGUGCCAGCAGCCGCGGUAAUACGGAGGAGCCGAGCGUUAUCCGGAUUUAUUGGGUUUAAAGGGUGCGUAGGCGGCCUUUUAAGUCAGCGGUGAAAGUCUGUGGCUCAACCAUAGAAUUGCCGUUGAAACUGGGAGGCUUGAGUGUGUUAGAGGCAGGCGGAAUGCGUGGUGUAGCGGUGAAAUGCUUAGAUAUCACGCAGAACCCCGAUUGCGAAGGCAGCCUGCCAAGCCAUGACUGACGCUGAUGCACGAAAGCGUGGGGAUCAAACAGGAUUAGAUACCCCUGUAGUC